AGGCUAUUAGCUCAAACGGUAGAGCAAUGUACAUGCAAUAUUGUACAUGGUGUGGGUUCAAGCCCCACAUAACCUA
RNAcentral lists this transfer RNA (76 nucleotides) under Spinacia oleracea (spinach). It matches the Rfam family "tRNA". Rfam says of the family: Transfer RNA (tRNA) molecules are approximately 80 nucleotides in length. Their secondary structure includes four short double-helical elements and three loops (D, anti-codon, and T loops). Further hydrogen bonds mediate the characteristic L-shaped molecular structure. tRNAs have two regions of fundamental functional importance: the anti-codon, which is responsible for specific mRNA codon recognition, and the 3' end, to which the tRNAs corresponding amino acid is attached (by aminoacyl-tRNA synthetases). tRNAs cope with the degeneracy of the genetic code in two manners: having more than one tRNA (with a specific anti-codon) for a particular amino acid; and 'wobble' base-pairing, i.e. permitting non-standard base-pairing at the 3rd anti-codon position. The record is from Rfam by way of RNAcentral. Lineage: Eukaryota; Viridiplantae; Streptophyta; Magnoliopsida; Caryophyllales; Amaranthaceae.